This 440-nucleotide ribosomal RNA is filed under the name uncultured bacterium. RNAcentral's name for it is "partial 16S ribosomal RNA". It matches the Rfam family "Bacterial small subunit ribosomal RNA", at positions 338 to 795 of the family's 1533-position model. The record is from RNAcentral.
CCUACGGGAGGCAGCAGUGGGGAAUAUUGCACAAUGGGGGAAACCCUGAUGCAGCGACGCCGCGUGAGUGAAGAAGUAUUUCGGUACGUAAAGCCCUAUCAGCAGGGAAGAAAAUGACGGUACCUGACUAAGAAGCCCCGGCUAACUACGUGCCAGCAGCCGCGGUAAUACGUAGGGGGCAAGCGUUAUCCGGAUUUACUGGGUGUAAAGGGAGCGUAGACGGCAGCGCAAGUCUGGAGUGAAAUCCCAUGGCUUAACCAUGGAACCGCUUUGGAAACUGUGCAGCUAGAGUGCAGGAGAGGUAAGCGGAAUUCCUAGUGUAGCGGUGAAAUGCGUAGAUAGUAGGAGGAACACCAGUGGCGAAGGCGGCUUACUGGACUGUAACUGACGUUGAGGCUCGAAAGCGUGGGGAGCAAACAGGAUUAGAUACCCGAGUAGUC